RNAcentral lists this ribosomal RNA (458 nucleotides) under uncultured bacterium. RNAcentral describes it as "partial 16S ribosomal RNA". It matches the Rfam family "Bacterial small subunit ribosomal RNA", at positions 338 to 795 of the family's 1533-position model. The record is from RNAcentral.
CCUACGGGUGGCUGCAGUGAGGAAUAUUGGUCAAUGGGCGAGAGCCUGAACCAGCCAAGUCGCGUGAGGGAGGAAGGCCCUACGGGUUGUAAACCUCUUUUGCCGGGGGACAAACGGCGGCACGCGUGCCGUCCUGAGGGUACCCGGCGAAAAAGCAUCGGCUAACUCCGUGCCAGCAGCCGCGGUAAUACGGAGGAUGCGAGCGUUAUCCGGAUUUAUUGGGUUUAAAGGGUGCGGAGGGGGGAUGCAAAGUCAGGGGUAAAAUACGGGGGCUCAACCUGCGUCCGCCGUUGAAACUGGCGUUCGUGAGUGGGCGAGAAGUACGAGGAAUGCGUGGUGUAGCGGGGAAAUGCAUAGAUAUCACGCAGAACCCCGAUUGCGAAGGCGGCGUACCGGCGCCCGACUGACGCUGAAGCACGAAAGCGUGGGUAUCGAACAGGAUUAGAUACCCGGUAGUC